Molecule: small RNA, 118 nt
Filed under: Enterobacter bugandensis
Lineage: Bacteria; Pseudomonadati; Pseudomonadota; Gammaproteobacteria; Enterobacterales; Enterobacteriaceae
Also listed under: 3 other names
Description: RtT sRNA
Rfam family: RtT RNA
About the family: This family represents a bacterial cis-regulatory element known as RtT RNA. The exact function of RtT is unknown although it is thought that it may be involved in changing the cellular response in relation to amino acid starvation.
Source: RNAcentral
UGUAUUUCCGCAAGGGGAAGGAUGAGAAGCUUCGACUAAGGUUCGAUUCGAGCGCAGCGAGAAAGCGUUGCCGCAGGCAACGACCCGAAGGGCGAGGCGCAGCCGCCACCCGGCGACA